GGAGAGGUGGCUGAGCGGUCUAAGGCGGUCGACUCGAAAUCGACUGAGGGGCCCAAAAGCCCCUCCGUGGGUUCAAAUCCCACCCUCUCCGCCA
This 94-nucleotide transfer RNA is filed under the name Synergistales bacterium. RNAcentral describes it as "tRNA-Ser". It matches the Rfam family "tRNA". From Rfam's summary of the family: Transfer RNA (tRNA) molecules are approximately 80 nucleotides in length. Their secondary structure includes four short double-helical elements and three loops (D, anti-codon, and T loops). RNAcentral also lists the same sequence under 1 other name. The record is from RNAcentral. Lineage: Bacteria; Thermotogati; Synergistota; Synergistia; Synergistales.